RNAcentral lists this ribosomal RNA (253 nucleotides) under uncultured bacterium. RNAcentral's name for it is "partial 16S ribosomal RNA". It matches the Rfam family "Bacterial small subunit ribosomal RNA", at positions 524 to 776 of the family's 1533-position model. The record is from RNAcentral.
UACGAAGGGGGCUAGCGUUGUUCGGAAUUACUGGGCGUAAAGCGCGUGUAGGCGGACAAUCAAGUCAGGUGUGAAAUCCCCGGGCUCAACCUGGGAACUGCAUCUGAAACUGGUUGUCUUGAGUGUCGGAGAGGGAAGCGAAAUUCCUGGUGUAGAGGUGAAAUUCGUAGAUAUCAGGAGGAACACCGGUGGCGAAGGCGGCUUCCUGGACGACAACUGACGCUGAGACGCGAAAGUGUGGGUAGCAAACAGG